RNAcentral lists this long non-coding RNA (655 nucleotides) under Monodelphis domestica (gray short-tailed opossum). RNAcentral's name for it is "lncRNA (ENSMODG00000049414.1)". The record is from RNAcentral. Lineage: Eukaryota; Metazoa; Chordata; Mammalia; Didelphimorphia; Didelphidae.
AGGGAAUGAGGAGUAGAACAUAAUCUCAGAGCUUGAAGGCAUCUCAUAAAUCAAUCCAUAACUCCUAUUUUACACCAGAGGGAAAAAAAAAGACCAAAGAAGAGUAGUGACUCGCCCAAGGUUACAUAGAUAAGAUUAGUUCCUAGUUCUGACUCCUAAUAGACUUGCUUUGCCUAUCUCUGAUGGCUCUUUCCAUUAAAGAGUACAACUGUUGAUAAGAACAUGGAGUAGUCAAAAGAAAUGGAUUAAUAGUCAACCAACCAGAUUUUGAAUCUUAUCUCUGCAACUUAACAUUUCUGUAAACUUUGACAGAUUACUUAAAUUUCCUAAUAAGACAGGAUGAUAUAGAACAAAUAUAUUUAAAACUGGAAAUCGGGAGACCUAGUUUUCAAUCUAGAUUCUAGUUGUAUGAUUACAGGACACAACACCUUUCCUGGCCUCAGUUAAUUUAUAUGUAAAAUCGGGAGUCAAGUUCCUCAAGAUCUGAAUCUAUGACCUGAUGUUCCUAUAAAUAAUAGAAAAAUAUGGUUUAAGAAGAAGAAAUGAAAGAUGCCAAAGACUUAUAGAUUAUACUGAAGCUUCCUGCCUGUAUAUUAUUAAUACUUCAAGAAAAGAACUUACAGGUGUUGGACAUGGUAAACCUAAUUGGCUAGAG